RNAcentral lists this ribosomal RNA (1556 nucleotides) under uncultured bacterium. RNAcentral describes it as "partial 16S ribosomal RNA". It matches the Rfam family "Bacterial small subunit ribosomal RNA". The record is from RNAcentral.
AGAGUUUGAUCCUGGCUCAGAACGAACGCUGGCGGCGUGGAUAAGACAUGCAAGUCGAACGCUGAUUAGAGGGUAGCAAUAUUCUCUAGUCGGAGUGGCGCAAGGGUGCGUAACACGUGGGUAAUCUGCCAUGAAGACUGGGAUAACUGGCUUAACUCGCUGAAAGGCGAGCUAAUACCGGGUAAGACUGUCAGUUGGCAUCAAUUGGCAUUGGAAGCUGGGGACCCGUAAGGGCCCUGGGCCUUUCAUGUUGACCCCGCGGGCCUAUCAGCUAUUUGGUGAGGUAAGGGCUCACCAAGGCUAAAACGGGUAGCUGGGUCUGAAAAGACCAACCACCCACCCCGGGAACUGAAACCCGGUCCAAAACACCCAAGGGUGGCAGCCGUAGAAAAUUCUCCCCACAUUGGGGGCAAGCCCUAAAGGAACCAACCCCCGGGGGGGGGGAUGGAAGGUUUUCAACCCGAAACCCCCUGGCCUUUGCAAACAAACCUUUAUCCAAAAACCCUGCCUGACCUUGUUUGGAGCGAAAAAAGAAGGAACGGCUUAACUCUGGGCCAGCGCCGGGGUAAAAAAGAAGUCCCCAGCGUUUUUCGGUUUCCCGGGACUAAAGGGUGCGUAGUGGCCCCGGUAAUUUUCGUGUGAAAAUCCGAGUUACCCCCAAGGGCGUGAAAACUUUCUGGUGGGGCCCAGAGAAAAAUGAAUUUUCUCUGGGCAAGAGAGGGUUUAUUCUAGAGAGACCCCGUGGAAGCGAGUUUUUGUCACACCUCUGACCCGAGCCCCGAGGUUUAGGCGAGCAAACCAGGUUUUGCUUCCUGUGUUAGUCCUAAAGAUAAACGGGGCACUUUUGCUGUAGGAAGAAUUCGAUUCUUUCCGCGGAGGUGCUUGCACCUAUAAUUGUCCCGGAUUGAGGAGCACGUUAGCCCGAAUAAAUCGUCAAAGAAUUUGACGGGGCCCCUCCACAAGCGGUGGAGUAUGUGGUUUAUUUCGAAGCCAACGGGAAGAUCCUUUACCUGCCCUUGACAUGCACGUGGUAGAACCCUAAAAGGGUAACGACCCCCGCAAGGGGGAGCGUGCACAGUUGUUGCAUGGCUGUUCUUCAGCUCGUGUCGUGGAGAUGUGGGGUUAAGUCCCGCAACGACGCCCCAACCCUUGUUUCCCUGUUGCCACCCCGCCGAGAGUUGGGACCACUCUGGACAGACCUCCCUCGCUUAAACGAGGAGGAAGGUGGGGAUGACGUCAAGUCAGGAUGGCCCUUACGGCCAGGGCUGCACACGUACUACAAUGCCUGGUACAAAGGGAAGCAAGACCGACAGGUGGAGCAAAUCCCAAAAAACCAGGCUCAGUUCAGAUUGUCGGCUGCAACUCGCCGACAUGAAGCUGGAAUCGCUAGUAAUGGCGCAUCAGCUACGGCGCCGUGAAUACGUUCCCAGGCCUUGUACACACCGCCCGUCACAUCAUGAAAGCCGGUUGUACCCGAAGUCGUCGCGUUAACCCGCAAGGGAGACAGACGCCGAAGGUAUGGCUGGUGAUUGGGAUGAAGUCGUAACAAGGUAACC